GAUGAACGCUGGCGGCGUGCCUAAUACAUGCAAGUCGAGCGAACAGAUAAGGAGCUUGCUCCUUUGACGUUAGCGGCGGACGGGUGAGUAACACGUGGGUAACCUACCUAUAAGACUGGGAUAACUUCGGGAAACCGGAGCUAAUACCGGAUAAUAUUUCGAACCGCAUGGUUCGAUAGUGAAAGAUGGUUUUGCUAUCACUUAUAGAUGGACCCGCGCCGUAUUAGCUAGUUGGUAAGGUAACGGCUUACCAAGGCGACGAUACGUAGCCGACCUGAGAGGGUGAUCGGCCACACUGGAACUGAGACAGGGUCCAGACUCCUACGGGAGGCAGCAGGAGGGAAUCUUCCGGAAUGGGCGAAAGCCUGACGGAGCAACGCCGCGUGAGUGAUGAAGGUCUUAGGAUAGAAAAACUCUGUUAUUAGGGAAGAAAAAAUGUGUAAGUAACUAUGAAAGUCUGAAGGGUACAUAAUCAGAAGGCCACGGCUAACUACGUG
This 497-nucleotide ribosomal RNA is filed under the name uncultured bacterium. Its description in RNAcentral is "partial 16S ribosomal RNA". It matches the Rfam family "Bacterial small subunit ribosomal RNA", at positions 28 to 507 of the family's 1533-position model. The record is from RNAcentral.